Molecule: long non-coding RNA, 799 nt
Filed under: Aquilegia coerulea
Lineage: Eukaryota; Viridiplantae; Streptophyta; Magnoliopsida; Ranunculales; Ranunculaceae
Description: long non-coding RNA (ACOE_LNC001230)
Source: RNAcentral
GUACUUAAUGCACACAUCGACCAUUAUGGGACACACUUCACACUAUCUUAUCUAUAAAUCAAUAAAAUCCAACUAUUAUUACUUAUAUAUAUUGAAAAUAACCAGAAACCACUACUGGAUCUGGCUUGGUAUGUGAUAACUGAGAUAUUGUAAGGUACUUAGAACUAUUAUUUUUGGAACUGACAUUUGCAGAUGUAUAGAGCAUAGUAUCUGAAAAUGAUGAAGAUAUGAUGUGUUAUUAGGGAUGAUUAUUAUGGCCGAGAAGGUGAUGUCUUGAACCAGUUAUGCCUUCAUGAGGAUGACCAUGUUCUCCAACUGGCAAUAUAACAUGACCUGUACCAUGAUGAUGAGGACCUUCUCCCAUGGCUUCAUGAACUGGCAUAUGUUCCUCAUGGUGAAUGUGGACAGGGAUGGGAACAGGCACAUGUACUGGAUGAGGUUUCUUUUUCUUUUUAACAAAACAAAAUAAACCAAUUGCCAGAAAUGCUAAGAAGAAUAGACCUCCUAGUGAGACACCCACAAUUAUGAGAGUGGUAUGGUUGUCUCCUCCUGGUGGUGGCGGAGUUAAUACAAUUUCAGGAAUUAAUGGACUUGGUGGUGGUGGUGGACGAAAGUUACCUCCCACUGGCGGUAUGUAUAUUGGAGUUGGUGGAGUGUAUGGUGUUGGUGGGGUAUAUGGUGGUGGUGGUGGUGAUUUUGGUGUCCAUACUGGAGUUGGUGGUGCUGAUGGGUUGUAUGGUGAUGGUGUAGGAGUAAUGGGAGAAGGUGGUGGUGGUGAUUUUGAUGUCCAUACUGGAGN